GGAUAACAGUGAGAAAUCAUUGCUAAUACCGCAUAUGCCAUAGUUAUCGCAUGAUAAUAGUGGGAAAGGAGCAAUCCGCUGAUAGAUGAGCUUGCGUCUGAUUAGCUAGUUGGUGGGGUAACGGCCUACCAAGGCGACGAUCAGUAGCCGGACUGAGAGGUUGAACGGCCACAUUGGGACUGAGAUACGGCCCAGACUCCUACGGGAGGCAGCAGUCGGGAAUAUUGCGCAAUGGAGGAAACUCUGACGCAGUGACGCCGCGUAUAGGAAGAAGAUUUUCGGAUUGUAAACUAUUGUCCCAUGGGAAGAUAAAAGACUGUACCUGUGAAGAAAGCUCCGGCUAACUACGUGCCAGCAGCCGCGGUAAUACGUAGGGAGCAAGCGUUAUCCGGAAUUAUUGGGUGUAAAAGGUGCGUAGACGGGAUAACAAUUUGGUUGUGAAACCCCUCGGCUCAACUGAGGAACUGCAACCAAAACUAUUAUUCUUGAGUGCAGGAGAGGAAAGUGGAAUUCCUAGUGUAGCGGUGAAAUGCGUAGAUAUUAGGAAGAACACCGGUGGCGAAGGCGACUUUCUGGACUGUAACUGACGUUGAGGCACGAAAGUGUGGGGAGCAAACAGGAUUAGAUACCCUGGUAGUCCACACUGUAAACG
This 652-nucleotide ribosomal RNA is filed under the name uncultured bacterium. RNAcentral describes it as "bacterial SSU rRNA". It matches the Rfam family "Bacterial small subunit ribosomal RNA", at positions 141 to 808 of the family's 1533-position model. The record is from RNAcentral.